UACGGGGGGGGUAAGCGUUGUUCGGAAUUACUGGGCGUAAAGGGCUCGUAGGCGGCCAACUAAGUCAUACGUGAAAUCCCUCAGCUUAACUGGGGAACUGCGUGUGAUACUGGAUGGCUUGGAUUUGGGAGAGGGAUGCGGAAUUCCAGGUGUAGCGGUGAAAUGCGUAGAUAUCUGGAGGAACACCGGUGGCGAAGGCGGCAUCCUGGACCAACACUGACACUGAGGAGCGAAAGCCAGGGGAGCAAACGGG
RNAcentral lists this ribosomal RNA (253 nucleotides) under uncultured bacterium. Its description in RNAcentral is "partial 16S ribosomal RNA". It matches the Rfam family "Bacterial small subunit ribosomal RNA", at positions 524 to 776 of the family's 1533-position model. The record is from RNAcentral.